GUAAGGAAUAUUGCUCAAUGGCCGAAAGGCUGAAGCAGCAACGCCGCGUGAAGGAUGAAUGGCUUUGGCUUGUAAACUUCUGUAGAAGAGGAAAAAUGAACCAGCAUGACUGGUUUUGAUUGUACUCUUAAAGUAAGCCCCGGCUAACUACGUGCCAGCAGCCGCGGUAAUACGUAGGGGGCAAGCGUUGUCCGGAUUUACUGGGUGUAAAGGGUGCUCAGGCGGAUUUGUAAGUCAGUGGUGAAAUCUUUCGGCUUAACCGGAAAACUGCCAUUGAUACUGCAAGUCUUGAGUUUGGAAGAGGGUGAUGGAAUAUCUGGUGUAGCAGUGAAAUGCGUAGAUAUCAGAUAGAACACCAAUGGCGAAGGCAGUCACCUGGUCCAAUACUGACGCUAAAGCACGAAAGUGUGGGGAGCAAACAGGAUUAGAAACCCCGGUAGUCC
This 443-nucleotide ribosomal RNA is filed under the name uncultured bacterium. Its description in RNAcentral is "bacterial SSU rRNA". It matches the Rfam family "Bacterial small subunit ribosomal RNA", at positions 354 to 796 of the family's 1533-position model. The record is from RNAcentral.